AAAUGCGAUAAGUAAUGUGAAUUGCAGAAUUCAGUGAAUCAUCGAAUCUUUGAACGCACCUUUCGCUCCUUGGUAUUCCUUGGAGCAUGCCUGUUUGAGUAUCAUUAAAUCUUCAAAGUAAAUCUUUUGUUAACUCAAUUGGUUUCUACUUUGGUAUUGGAGGUCUUUGCAGCUUCACACCUGCUCCUCUUUGUUCAUUAGCUGGAUCUCAGUGUUAUGCUUGGUUCCACUCGGCGUGAUAAGUUAUCUAUCGCUGAGGACACUGUAAAAGGUGGCCAAGGUAAAUGCAGAUGAACCGCUUCUAAUAGUCCAUUGACUUGGACAAUACUUUUAUGAUCUGAUCUCAAAUCAGGUAGGACUACCCGCUGAACUUAAGC
Molecule: unclassified non-coding RNA, 377 nt
Filed under: plant metagenome
Description: partial contains 5.8S ribosomal RNA, internal transcribed spacer 2, and large subunit ribosomal RNA
Rfam family: 5.8S ribosomal RNA (bases 1-104)
Source: RNAcentral